This 278-nucleotide unclassified non-coding RNA is filed under the name uncultured fungus. Its description in RNAcentral is "sequence contains ITS1, 5.8S rRNA gene". The stretch from base 230 to 278 matches the Rfam family "5.8S ribosomal RNA", at positions 1 to 49 of the family's 154-position model. Lineage: Eukaryota; Fungi. The record is from RNAcentral.
UUUCCGUAGGUGAACCUGCGGAAGGAUCAUUAUCGAGUUUUGAAACGGGUUGUCGCUGGUCUCAUAAAUUGGGGCAUGUGCACGCCUGGCUCAUCCACUCUUUCAACCUCUGUGCACUUAUUGUAGGUUGGUAAUAAAGUUGGUUUCAAAUCAGCUGGAAGACCUUCCUAUGUUUUAUUACAAACGCUUUAGUUAUAGAAUGUAUCUUUGCGUCAACGCAUUUAUAUACAACUUUCAGCAACGGAUCUCUUGGCUCUCGCAUCGAUGAAGAACGCAGC